CCAAGGGCAUCAGUAGGGGGUGGCGUCUCCAGCCCCUGGCUCCAUGGCACUGUUCAACUUUCCUUGCGUUGCUUUGCAGCCCACCCCUCACAGUGCCUCUGAAGUGUUUCCUCUGGAGUAACAUGAGCGUUUGAGGGCUUGUCUAAGGAGAAGAAAAGAAUAAGGCAGUGAAGGAGACUGUACAUAAAGACAUGGCAAAAAUCGUAAUUAUAGCAAUAUAGUUAUGGGGUAAUGUUCCCAUGGUUGUAAAGCUAACUUUUUAACAAUUAUAAUGGAACUAUAUGUUGUUUCCAUUUUUAAAGUAAACAAGAAUAUUCCUUGUUUGGAGACUGGACUUGAGUUAAAACUCUCCAGGCUCUUAAGUUAUGUAUUAAAAAAGAAAAAAAAUCUGUCCAUGUUAGGAGUUAUUUCACAGAUUCCUGUGCUUGAAAAGCAUAGGAUACUAAUCCUUUAAAAAGUGUAAAUGGAGAAAAGUUAUAUUUUAUGAAGGUUAUUUUGUUGUAUUUAGUAUUGGAAAAGUUGGUUUUCAGAGCAUUUCAGAAUGUCGGAAGCACCACUGUCUUUUUAUUAGUAUAAACGGCCUUUAGCAAAAGUUUUUGUGAUUGUUACGUGAUGGUAUUUAAGGUUGUUUCACAGAGCAUUCAGGAUAGGCAGAAAAUGACAAAACAGUGCUAUGUCUCACAUAACGUGUCCUCAGGGAGCAGAAUCUUGGAUUUGUGACUUGUAGCUUCAUAAGGACUCAACAAAAGAGAUUGCACAGGGACAUUUCAGCAGAGUGACACCAGGACAUAUGUUCUUUACCUAGAUUCAAACUCUAUGUAUCGUGUGAAACGAUGAAGGCUGCAGAAAGUUAUCCCAUAUUCAGUGUACAGUAUUCAUUUUUAACGAAACAACUACAAUAUUGCUGGCAGAUAGGCCCCAAGCAUGACAUUCAAUAUAGUUUACAUGUUCCUGUCAAGGUCUUUGGUUAACAUUAACCAGCUGCAUGCUUCCUGGACUUUAAAAAAUUGGGUUUCUAUAGAAAACUUUUUUUUUUUUUUUUAAUGUGCAGGCUAUUCAAGUUCAAUAGUAAAAGCUUAAAAUUGAAUGUUCUACUCCAUGCUGAAGGAGCUGAAAGCUGCCUUCUUCAUUUUUUGCACUUUCUGGUAGUUCCCCUGUUUUUUUCUAAUUCCUUAUGAAAUUGUGUGGGUGGGGUGGAGCACUGCAGUUGGGGGGUAACAUGGACCACUGAUUUUUGCCCUUUGACCCUGCACAAUGACCUUUGCAUCAGCCAAACUCAUUGCCAUGACAACUCUUUGUACUGUGUCCGUGCCACAGAUCUGUUGGUGACAUUGUUCAUAUAGUCAAAGGGGACAAGUUGGAGACGGUCAAUUUUUACUUUUUGUUGUUGUUGUUGUUGCAAUUCUUUCUUCAAUGGUUGUAAGUAAAGACAGUGUGAGCUGGUGACACUAAAGCCGGUCUUGUAUUACUGUAUUUUUGACAGAAUGGUUUUGAAAACUGCUACAGGGACUGAUGUGGCAAAUAUAUCUUUUUAUGC
Molecule: long non-coding RNA, 1537 nt
Filed under: Bos taurus (domestic cattle)
Lineage: Eukaryota; Metazoa; Chordata; Mammalia; Artiodactyla; Bovidae
Description: long non-coding RNA NONBTAT024212
Source: RNAcentral